Molecule: transfer RNA, 70 nt
Filed under: Dipodomys ordii (Ord's kangaroo rat)
Lineage: Eukaryota; Metazoa; Chordata; Mammalia; Rodentia; Heteromyidae
Rfam family: tRNA
About the family: Transfer RNA (tRNA) molecules are approximately 80 nucleotides in length. Their secondary structure includes four short double-helical elements and three loops (D, anti-codon, and T loops).
Source: Rfam by way of RNAcentral
GGGAAGGUGGUUCAGUGGUAGAGUGCUUGCCUUGCAUGCAUGAGGCCCUGGGUUCGAUUCCUCAGCUCUA